AAGAAACUUAGGAUUACCCAAACCGAAGGCCUUCAAAGCCUUAGACAAGAGUUAA
Molecule: transfer RNA, 55 nt
Filed under: Allenia fusca (scaly-breasted thrasher)
Lineage: Eukaryota; Metazoa; Chordata; Aves; Passeriformes; Mimidae
Description: Margarops fuscus (scaly-breasted thrasher) partial tRNA-Trp
Source: RNAcentral